AACGAACGCUGGCGGCAUGCCUAACACAUGCAAGUCGAACGAAACCUUCGGGUCUAGUUGCGCACGGGUGCGUAACGCGUGGGAACCUGCCUGUAGGUUCGGAAUAACUCAGAGAAAUUUAAGCUAAUACCGGAUGGUGUCUUCGGACCAAAGAUUUAUCGCCUUUUGGUGGGCCCGCGUUGGAUUAGCUGGUUGGUGGGGUAAAGGCCUACCAAGGAGACGAUCCAUAGCUGGUCUGAGAGGAUGAUCAGCCAGACUGGGACUGAGACACGGCCCAGAACCGGACGGAAGGGAGCAGUGGGGAAUAUUGGAGAAGGGGCGAAAGUCUAAUAAAGCAAUGCGGGGUGAGUGAUGAAGGCCUUAGGGUUGUAAAGCUCUUUUACCCGAGAUGAUAAUGACAGUAACGGGAGAAUAAGCACCGGCUAACUACGUG
This 433-nucleotide ribosomal RNA is filed under the name uncultured bacterium. RNAcentral's name for it is "partial 16S ribosomal RNA". It matches the Rfam family "Bacterial small subunit ribosomal RNA", at positions 29 to 507 of the family's 1533-position model. The record is from RNAcentral.